GGAGAGGUGGCCGAGUGGCUGAAGGCGGCAGUCUCGAAAACUGUUGUAUCCUCUUGGGUACCGGGGGUUCGAAUCCCCCCCUCUCCGCCA
Molecule: transfer RNA, 90 nt
Filed under: Deltaproteobacteria bacterium
Lineage: Bacteria; Pseudomonadati; Myxococcota; Myxococcia
Description: tRNA-Ser
Rfam family: tRNA
About the family: Transfer RNA (tRNA) molecules are approximately 80 nucleotides in length. Their secondary structure includes four short double-helical elements and three loops (D, anti-codon, and T loops).
Source: RNAcentral